ACUUGGGACGGCGUGGCUAUAGCCAGGGGUGGAGGGAAGAGUGAUGAUACUGGUCAAUUGCUACUGCUGGCCCAUACGGUGACCACUGAAUAACACUGAGAACGCACAAAAAGAAACCCUGUCUCUGAAAAACAGCCCAUGUCUACGGCGUACACGUCCCGGUCUAGCAGCAUCCUUGUCCCUGGCCUGACAACCCGCUUCGAAGCUACACGUUACGACGCUCGCGCAGAAUC
RNAcentral lists this small nucleolar RNA (233 nucleotides) under Trichophyton rubrum BMU01672. RNAcentral's name for it is "CD-box snoRNA". Lineage: Eukaryota; Fungi; Ascomycota; Eurotiomycetes; Onygenales; Arthrodermataceae. The record is from RNAcentral.